CUCGAAAAAUGGCGGAGCCCGAGCGGCGAGACGGGCACACCGGCGGGCCCCUUCUUCGCAAGGCGGGCAGCGGGCGGGCCUAGGUGUUUCGUACCCCCUUCCCUCCGUUGCCGGGUCUUUCCGGCGGAAAAAAUCGGGGAGGGCAGUGGCGCCGAGUGUCCACGGCGACGGGCACGGGCGGGAGGCAGCAAUUGCAGUGUGAGUGCGGGGAGUAGUAGAGGACCGUGGAAGAGGGGGAGGGAGGGCAUGGAGGCAGGUACGAGAGCGAGAGGACUCGGAGGAGGGAGGAACACAAACGACCACUAGGGGAGGGGCAGGCACCGGCGGUAACCGCGGCAGGCACGAGCGGGUUCUCUACCGCUUUCACUGGGACUAGAAGUUCGAUGGCAUGAUGUGCCUUACCCCCGUCUCGGAGUAGUAGCGGCCGAGGCGCGGCCGCGAGCCCAGGACCUUGCAGUUCGUCCCCGACCGGGACUCGGGCCAAGUGCUCCCCUUGCGCGACCAGACCACGCCGGUCCAAAGUCAGGGCCGACAGAAGUGGACACUCAUGUCGAUGGUACACCACCUGCUGGUGUUCUUGCAAGAGUCUGCCCUCCGGCCCCUCUUCUUCUUCGAUCACCACGGCCUCCCGCAGUUCCUGCCGCUGCAGCAGCUCCAGGCGCUGACCACCGUCCUACGAAGACUUCGAGAAAAGGAGGCUUCACGCAAGUUCUUGCAGUAAAAGUCGCGUUGACUAUUACGAUUUUCCGUUGACGUCAGAGGAAGGGAGUCGUUUUGAAACCUAGGACUUCUAUAACAGCACGUUAAAUAAUAGUCAACAGGAGCCGAUCGUCGACCGAGAUGACAACAGCAGUGUCCUUCAUUAGAGCGCCAUCCUUUAACCUUUCGAGUUUUACCGGAGUUCGAGUUGAUACAACCUCUAAGGUAAACCUUUCGGAUGACACACAACGCCUUCAGACUCAAGGGUCAUUUUAUAUUCAUGACAGUUCAAUCACUUCGUCCUCAGAGAAGUAACCUCAAACCGGGUUUGUCUCUCCAACUACACCUAAAUAGUAGUGGGUUCGGUAGGUCUGUGUAGAAUAAUAGACUACCGAGGGAGGCCCUUCGUGGUACCUCCCCACGACCACAACGGCAUGGCUACAAGAGUUAGUCCAGUUUACUCCUAGAACCACAACCUCUUAAGGGUCUAGAAUUUGAAGAACAACUGACCCGUCAUUUAAGCCCAAAAGUAGAACAAGUCGAGGAAGGAUAGUUACUAUGAAGACAAUUGUUCUACACCACCCUAAGUAUAGGUAUAUCGAGUGAGAGGCAUAAACGCAACGUGGGGAACAUGGACUCUCACGUCCGCGAAAGUCUACGAUAAGGUCGUCUACAAUUCCUUCUCUAAUGCUUCCGUUUCUUCCUCAACCUGUUUUUCCUGCAGCUGAUACUCCGUCGCAACAGGUGCUUUGAGUCUUAACGGGUUUUUUAUAAAUUAAAUCUUUUCCUAUUUCACGAUUUAAGUCGAGGCAAGUUCGUCAAGAAUAGACUUUUACUCCUUACCAACUUCGGUAUACGACGUAAAACGAAAGAAGCCCUAAAGAAGCUCUGUAGUCUAGUGUCGGUCACCCCAGCCAAAAGAGUCAAAAGGUUCCUCUUCGAACUGUUCGAUCAGCGUCGUCUACGAAACGUGGUGCUAUAAUAUGCGAAGGUGAUGAUACAGGUUAUAGUAGAUAAAUGUGUUAAUAGUCUACGUCGAUGUAUACGUUCCUUCUUGUUCCAAUAAGACUUUCCUCUAAAUGGAUAACCACAACUAUCCUUGUCGCACCUAUGAACCCAUUUGGGAUGUAAUAAAGCGUACUUAUGGCGAUGACCACGUGGAGGUCUAAUGAAACGGUUUUCACCUGUUUUAACCCCAAAAGGAUGUAUAUUGACCCUCCUCUACAGUUUCCUAUUAAUACCCACCACCGCUCGAGCAGACUGUGUCGAUAGUUUUAAGAAGUGUCGCAUAUCCUAUCUGGUAUAAAACCCAAAGAAAUCCUAGACCCUCGAAGGUCUAGUACGACGGUGUCCAGAUACACCUUUUAAAUCUGGAAGUUAAGGAGAAUCAGUCCUCCUCGAAGAUCCACUACCAUAGACCCUAAAACUAGCCUACUCGGCGGGUAUAUAAGCAGUCCUGUACGACCUCCUCUUCAAACCUAGAGAAACCUGUUAACAACGUCGGUUGAAAGACGUGCUCAUAGUCUUUGUGACGAUACUCAAGUUUCUCCUUACGUUGUGGCUCUUUUUCUAAUAAUGUUUCUAAUUUUGGUCAGGACUUUUUAGUGAGACCGACCUCUUUCUUCUGUCAUAAGUCGCACCAGACAAGCUAGAAGAUGUCUUAUAUCAGGAGUAGUCUCUAGGACUCCUGAGGUGUUUCAUGAUAGGGGCAAAAUUGGACCUUCUAUGAAGUUCAAAAUCCCUGAAUCUACUUGUAUCGUUUUUACAGGAAUCUUCUAAUAUGGUACUGAUAAUAAAGCAAGCGGUUCUUUUAGAAACCGCUGUUUUACGUGACUUCUGAGAUGGACAAGAUAACCUGACAAGCCUAUACAACCGUACGCCCCUUCUAGAACCGGAAUAGGGACGAACACAAGUGGGACAAUACGAUCUUGAGCGCAACUAACCUAACGCAUAGGUCUCUUACGGAUCGCUUGGUCCGAACCUUAAACUAUAAGGCAGGUUCAUGUCGAUAUACUGCCAAACACGAGGGAGUACAGUACUAACGAGGUGUAAUGCACGAACCACCCUUCCUCUACUUCCCUGUUCUUCAGCAAAAAUGUUCUGACAUUAACCGUCGCUGUUUCUCCGGGGUAGAGCAACGUGGGGUCUUCAUCACUUGAAGUAAGAAGUCGUCGUAAAGCUACGUGGCAGUUACACCCGUUAGAAAGGCGAUGUCCUAGACGAGCGAGACUUUCUGUUUAUGUGGCGUUCUGGUCGUCGCCUCCUUUGUUAGUUGCUAGGGUGAUUGGGCUCCGUAAUAACCUCUAAGGCGGAUGUACACAGUGACCUCAGGUAUGACCUCCUGUUCCUGUAGGUCCGCUCGUAGUUCUUGGAGCAGUGUUCGUCGCCCUCCAGUAAGGGACCGUUCUUUUGCCUGUUCCGGAUCAGCUGGCCGUUUAGCAUCCUUGUUGUUUCCUGGCGCUUCUUGCCAGUCAGCAGCGGCUCGCCCUAGUACUAGUGCUCUUUAUAUAUAUAUCCUAUUAUUCCACCACAUAACGGCGGUACAGGCAACUCGACUACAAACAAAGUCGAUCUCUUUAGCAAUGCGGGCGAGUAUUAAAAAGCUGCGAUACCUUUUAUUAUUGAUGACCAUAUAGUGAGAUAUAGUUUGGCCGAACACUUUAUUUACCAACGCGGGGCCAAAAAACAGCAGUUCUAGA
This 3398-nucleotide ribosomal RNA is filed under the name Triticum aestivum (bread wheat). RNAcentral describes it as "partial small subunit ribosomal RNA". The record is from RNAcentral. Lineage: Eukaryota; Viridiplantae; Streptophyta; Magnoliopsida; Poales; Poaceae.